CAAACUCAAACAAGACUCUCAAAAUAAUAUAAAAUACCAUUCCUUCACUAGAACUCUGCAAUUUGCUGAAAUUCAGUGCAUUGUACACACAACUCUAUUGCUACUAAUUUAUUUUUGAUGGUAGACCCUCCAAAUUGAUGAUCGGCACCGUUGGACAUGCUCUAGACUACUUGAAGUAUCUAGAAAUUAAAAUUUUAAAUCUUACAAUAUUAAAAUACGAAUGCGAUUCCACAAAAGGGUUUUAACAGGAUAAAUACAUAUUUAAGAUAUACUAUCAAGUAAUAAAUAAAAUAAAUUAAGUUUAUAUCAUCUGCUAAUAUAAUAUUUACACACACAUAACAAAAAUUAAUUUUACAUUAUUAUAUAUACAUAUAUAUAUAUAUAUAUGUAUAUAUAUAUAUAUAUAGAGCUAGGCUCCUAUGCUUUCGAAAGUACGGAGGCCUCCGUGCUUGUAAGUUAUUUUUGAUGAAGGGACAUCCGAUUCAGCAAUCGGUUUCGUUAGAUACGAUCUAUGCUAUUGGAACUAUCUAGAAACCAAUUUUUAUAAUUUUUUGACUUCGUUUGCCUAGUGAACGAGUGGUCUUAAAAUGAACGGCUGAAAAUAAAAAUCUCAUAAAAAAGGUGAUAAAGGGCUCAAAUUUCAAAUCGGAAGUAUUGUUCUUACUCUUGAUAUUAAGUAGAAUUUUUUAUUAAAUUUUCAUGUAAUCUGGAUACUUCUAUACUGUUGAACUUAAAAAAGUGCCACAUCGGCCGUUAAAAUAGUCAUUUUUGAGACUCUAUGAUCGCUUGGUUAAUGAUGUCAAAAAAUUAUGAAAUUUGGUUUCUAGAUAGUUCCAAUAACAUAGAUUAUGCCUAAUGGAGUUGAUCGUCAAAUUGGAUGUCCUAUCAUCGAAAACAACUUA
Molecule: long non-coding RNA, 902 nt
Filed under: Ananas comosus (pineapple)
Lineage: Eukaryota; Viridiplantae; Streptophyta; Magnoliopsida; Poales; Bromeliaceae
Description: long non-coding RNA (ACOM_LNC014952)
Source: RNAcentral